GCUUGGAAGCAGCCAUUCAUUUAAAGAGUGCGUAACAGCUCACUAGUCGAGGAGUUUGGCGUGGAUAAUAAUCGGGCAUCAAGUAUUCUACCGAAGCUUUGGGAUGUUUAAACAUCGGUAGGGGAGCAUUCCACUCAGCGUUGAAGGUGAGGCGUGAGCCUUGCUGGAGCGUGUGGAAAAGCAAAUGUAGGUAUAAGUAACGAUAAAGGGGGUGGGAAACCCCCUCGCCGAAAGACUAAGGUUUCCUGAUCAACGCUAAUCGGAUCAGGGUCAGUCGGGUCCUAAGGCUCAGCCGAACGGCGAGGCCGAUGGCAGAACCGGUUAAUAUUCCGGUACUACCCUUUGGGGUGACGUGGAGACGCAGUCGUGACAAUGCCGCCAGCUGACGGAAUAGCUGGUUAAAGGGUGUAGAAGCUGAUUGUGGCAGGCAAAUCCACCACAAGAUUCGAACCUGACAGUAUGGAGCGUCCUUCCGGACAAUCCAACAGUGCAUGUAAUCAUACUGCCAAGAAAAUCCGCUAAACAUAACCUUCAGGGUACCCGUACCGCAAACGGACACACGUAGUCGGGUUGAAUAUACUAAGGCGCUUGAGUGAUUCACGGUUAAGGAACUAGGCAAAUUAACCCUGUAACUUCGGGAAAAAGGGUCCCUACCCGUUAUCGGGAGGGCGCAGAGAAUCGGUCCAGGCAACUGUUUAACAAAAACACAGGGCUGUGCGAAGUCGAAAGACGCUGUAUACAGCCUGACACCUGCCCGGUGCUGGAAGGUUAAGAGGAGAUGUCAUCGCAAGAGAAGCAUUGAAUUGAAGCCCCAGUAAACGGCGGCCGUAACAAUAACGGUCCUAAGGUAGCGAAAUUCCUUGUCGGGUAAGUUCCGACCUGCACGAAUGGUGUAAUGAUCCGGACGCUGUCUCAACCAUGAGCUCAGUGAAAUUGUAGUAUCGGUGAAGAUGCCGAUUACCCGCGAUGGGACGAAAAGACCCCGUGAACCUUUACUAUAGCUUAUCAUUGAAUUUGGGCACGUGAUGUGUAGGAUAGGUCGGAGGCUUUGAAGCAGGCACGCCAGUGUUUGUGGAGCCGCUGUUGAAAUACGACCCUUCAUUUGUUUGAGUUCUAACUCGUAAUACGAGGACACUGAUUGGUGGGUAGUUUGACUGGGGUGGUCGCCUCCAAAAGUGUAACGGAGGCUUCUAAAGGUGCCCUCAGGACGAUUGGUAACCGUCCGUAGAGUGUAAUGGCAUAAGGGCGCUUGACUGGGAGACAGACAAGUCGAUCAGGUAGGAAACUAGAGCAUAGUGAUCCGGUGUUUCCGCAUGGAAGGGACAUCGCUCAAAGGAUAAAAGGUACUCCGGGGAUAACAGGCUGAUCCCUCCCAAGA
This 1378-nucleotide ribosomal RNA is filed under the name human gut metagenome. RNAcentral's name for it is "bacterial LSU rRNA". It matches the Rfam family "Bacterial large subunit ribosomal RNA", at positions 1104 to 2497 of the family's 2925-position model. The record is from RNAcentral.